CUCAACGACCGUACCGCAAACCGACACUGGUGCGCGAGAUGAGUAUUCUAAGGCGCUUGAGAGAACUCAGGAGAAGGAACUCGGCAAAUUGACACCGUAACUUCGGAAGAAGGUGUGCCCUAUUAGUGUGAAGUGAACAACGGAGCAUGAAUGGGUUGCAAAAAAUCGGUGGCUGCGACUGUUUAUUAAAAACACAGCACUCUGCAAACACGAAAGUGGACGUAUAGGGUGUGACGCCUGCCCGGUGCUGGAAGAUUAAAUGAUGGGGUGCAAGCUCUUGAUUGAAGUCCCAGUAAACGGCGGCCGUAACUAUAACGGUCCUAAGGUAGCGAAAUUCCUUGUCGGGUAAGUUCCGACCUGCACGAAUGGCGUAACGAUGGCCACACUGUCUCCUCCUGAGACUCAGCGAAGUUGAAAUGUUUGUGAUGAUGCAAUCUCCCCGCGGAAAGACGGAAAGACCCCAUGAACCUUUACUGUAGCUUUGUAUUGGACUUUGAACAGAUCUGUGUAGGAUAGGUGGGAGGCUUUGAAGCAGGGUCGCUAGAUCUUGUGGAGCCAACGUUGAAAUACCACCCUGGUGUGUUUGAGGUUCUAACCUAGGUCCAUUAUCUGGAUCGGGGACAGUGCAUGGUAGGCAGUUUGACUGGGGCGGUCUCCUCCCAAAGCGUAACGGAGGAGUUCGAAGGUACGCUAGUUACGGUCGGACAUCGUGACGAUAGUGCAAUGGCAUAAGCGUGCUUAACUGCGAGACUGACAAGUCGAGCAGAUGCGAAAGCAGGACAUAGUGAUCCGGUGGUUCUGUAUGGAAGGGCCAUCGCUCAACGGAUAAAAGGUACUCUGGGGAUAACAGGCUGAUACCGCCCAAGAGUUCAUAUCGACGGCGGUGUUUGGCACCUCGAUGUCGGCUCAUCUCAUCCUGGGGCUGUAGCCGGUCCCAAGGGUAUGGCUGUUCGCCAUUUAAAGAGGUACGUGAGCUGGGUUUAAAACGUCGUGAGACAGUUUGGUCCCUAUCUUCCGUGGGCGCUGCAGAUUUGAGGAAGCCUGCUCCUAGUACGAGAGGACCGGAGUGGACACACCUCUGGUGUAUCGGUUGUCACGCCAGUGGCAUUGCCGAGUAGCUAAGUGUGGAAGAGAUAACCGCUGAAAGCAUCUAAGCGGGAAACUCGUUUCAAGAUGAGAUCUGCCGGGGCCUUGAGCCCCCUGAAGAGUCGUUCAAGACCAGGACGUUGAUAGGUCAGGUGUGGAAGCGCAGUAAUGCGUUAAGCUAACUGAUACUAAUUGCUCGUGCGGCUUGACU
Molecule: ribosomal RNA, 1297 nt
Filed under: metagenome
Description: bacterial LSU rRNA
Rfam family: Bacterial large subunit ribosomal RNA
Source: RNAcentral